AGUGAACGCUGGCGGUAGGCCUAACACAUGCAAGUCGAGCGGCAGCACAGUAAGAGCUUGCUCUUACGGUUGGCGAGUGGCGGACGGGUGAGGAAUACAUCGGAAUCUACUUUUUCGUGGGGGAUAACGUAGGGAAACUUACGCUAAUACCGCAUACGACCUACGGGUGAAAGCAGGGGAUCUUCGGACCUUGCGCGAUUGAAUUAGCCGAUGUCGGAUUAGCUAGUUGGCGGGGUAAAGGCCCACCAAGGCGACGAUCCGUAGCUGGUCUGAGAGGAUGAUCAGCCACACUGGAACUGAGACACGGUCCAGACUCCUACGGGAGGCAGCAGUGGGGAAUAUUGGACAAUGGGCGCAAGCCUGAUCCAGCCAUACCGCGUGGGUGAAGAAGGCCUUCGGGUUGUAAAGCCCUUUUGUUGGGAAAGAAAAGCAGCAGGUUAAUACCCCGCUGUUCUGACGGUACCCAAAGAAUAAGCACCGGCUAACUUCGUG
Molecule: ribosomal RNA, 492 nt
Filed under: uncultured bacterium
Lineage: Bacteria
Description: partial 16S ribosomal RNA
Rfam family: Bacterial small subunit ribosomal RNA
Source: RNAcentral